GCAGUGUCCCCGUUCUCCAGAGGACUUGCUUUCUGCUCUCUUCCAAAUACUGGAAACUCCUUGGUGGCUGGUUGCAGGGCAAGGCCAUCGCUGGAUGCCAGAGCCUUCUCUGCCUCUGCUAACACAGCAGAGACCCAGUUUCAGCUGACAAUCUCAUAUUGCGGGACAGGAAACAAAAGAGCAAUUCAGUCCUUGUGAAAACAUGCCAGAUUUCCAUGCAACGAUUUUCCUUCUUGAAAUCACUUUUUGUGUUUCCAUCACAGAAAUGAAUUCAAAGGAAAAUGAGUAAUUGCUGGUCUACUCGGAAUCACUGGGCCUCCGCAAGAGACCUGGCUGGGAAGGCUGUUUGCUCAGAUGACUACAUCACCUGGCUUUUGCUGCACAUGACCAACUGGAGGCUGUGCUGGGAGCCCAAGCAGGGAGCCUUGAGUGUUGUCUCCAGCAGCAGCUUCUUUCCAUCCUGUGUCUACCUCCUGGGGUCUUUAUGGGCUCAGGGCCCAUCAGAUUCAAACACCAUUUUUUGAGGACACAAAAAAUCUUACACUGAUGGCCUCAUACUUCGUGGGGAGACAGAAGCCAUUGGACAGACAUCCCAUCACUAUGUGAUCACCAAAUCCACAAGCCAUCUGUGUCCACUGUUCCCUCUUCCUUCCAGGUAACAACAGAGUCUUGUUCCUUCUGUCAUUGCUCAGUUCUCUUUUGCUCUCCUGUCCCUCCCACUUCUGCAUGUCCCCUUUCCCACACCAUCAGCUUUGUACUAGCACGUAAACAAGCUACCAGAGGGACCAACAUGCACUCAUUGGUUGGACCAAGAGCUACAUAUAUGAAUGGAAGAGGAUGGGUGUCUAAGAGGUACAGAGACAGAGCUAUUUUGAAUCCAACUAUACCAGGUGGGUUGGGUUGCCUGUCUCCACCCUGAGGGAUUCAAUUCGUUUAUUAAAGUCAUAGGCAAAAGGGGAGUGGUAACUGUUGGAACAGGAUUGCAUUCUUUAUUGCUAACUUG
RNAcentral lists this long non-coding RNA (1003 nucleotides) under Canis lupus familiaris (dog). RNAcentral's name for it is "lncRNA (ENSCAFG00845009544.1)". Lineage: Eukaryota; Metazoa; Chordata; Mammalia; Carnivora; Canidae. The record is from RNAcentral.